Molecule: long non-coding RNA, 1351 nt
Organism: Homo sapiens (human)
Lineage: Eukaryota; Metazoa; Chordata; Mammalia; Primates; Hominidae
Gene: ZNF213-AS1
Product: ZNF213 antisense RNA 1 (head to head)
Source: Ensembl
AGGCAGUUCUGGCUCAAGAUCUCUCAUGAUACUGCAGACACCACACCAACGAGGACCCCAGUCCUCUGGCACUGGAGGACCCACUUAGAAGGCGGAUGACUCACGUGGCUCUUGGCAGGAGACCUCAGUUCCUCCCCACAUAGGCCUCCCUAUAGGACUGCUUGAGUGUCCCGUUUACCAAAUGAUCUAAAUAUGUUCCGGUUUUGAUUGGCUGCUCUGCAAUGUGGGCCGUUAUCUAGCUGAUUCGGUGGGGCCUGAAGUGUCAGUUCCUGCCGCAGGGAUGUUAUAUGGAACCUUUGGCAGGCCGCUACAGACGAAUCAUAAUAUAAACCUGUGCUAGUUAUUGAUUACGUCCCAGCUCCUGCGUUGCCUGCUCUGUGAAAUGGUUCUGGCCCUUUAGUUUUUCCUUUACCAGCUGGCAUGAUCUUAAGCUUUGUCAGUAGAGGGCGCUGGAGAGACAUUGCAGGAGACGAGUUUCCCUUCCUGCUUCUGGUGUGUUCUCUCUAGGCUCCGGCAUGACGGGUGACUUCUUCCGAGUCUGGCUUCUGCAGCACACAGGGCUUCGCCAGCACCCAGCUCCUGCAGCAUGGGCAGCUCCUGUGACAGCAGGCGCCCGCAGCCUGCAAAGCGUCUCCAGUGCCGCCGCCUCAGUGAACCUCAACCAGCGGCACCUAGCAGCUUUCUCUGCCACCCUCUUCAGGUAGUUCUGUAGCAGCGCGUUUCUCAUGAGACACUUCCCUGUGAGCAGCUUUUUCUACCCUUGAGGAUGGAUUUCCAGCAAAUUCUGCCCAUGUGGUACCACAGCCACUUCUCUGCCAUUCAGUGAAACUGCCGUUGUGCCCUCUUCAAGGUCUGGAUCUAAGCCCAGGGACCAGGAAACCUCUUGCUUGAGUGCUGGAACUCAGGCCAGAAGGCAGGAAGCCCGCCUGACCCCAUGUCUCAGGCUGCCAGAGGAGCGUGCGAUGAGGAAGGCUGGACUGUCUUCACAGGACACCAGGGAGAAGCCUCAAGCCACUGCCCCCUGACAAGUCGCAGCUCUCCAGCCUGUCUCCUCACUCCCCUCCCCUCCACAUGGGGGGGUUGGGGUGGGGGCGGGGAAGGUUCGGGGCAGGGGUCAUUUCAGCUACUGGGCACCAGUCUCCUCCUCAUGUUUAUCCUGUUCCCUUUGCUUGAAAGGUUCGUACUCCAGAUCCUUGUAAAACCGCUUCUCACCCUUUGAGUCUCAGCUUAAAUGUCCCCUCCUUGGAGGGGUCUUCCCUGACAAUGAAGCUCCGACCGUCCUCUCCUGUUUUACCCAGUUCAUUUCUUUCUGGCAUUUGUAACUACUUGAAGUUAAAGUGUGUGCCAUGUA